CAGCAGCCGCGGUAAUACGUAGGGUGCAAGCGUUAAUCGGAAUUACUGGGCGUAAAGCGUGCGCAGGCGGUUAUGCAAGACAGAGGUGAAAUCCCCGGGCUCAACCUGGGAACUGCCUUUGUGACUGCAUGGCUAGAGUACGGUAGAGGGGGAUGGAAUUCCGCGUGUAGCAGUGAAAUGCGUAGAUAUGCGGAGGAACACCGAUGGCGAAGGCAAUCCCCUGGACCUGUACUGACGCUCAUGCACGAAAGCGUGGGGAGCAAACAGGAUUAGAUACCCUGGUAGUCCACGCCCUAAACGAUGUCAACUGGUUGUUGGGAGGGUUUCUUCUCAGUAACGUAGCUAACGCGUGAAGUUGACCGCCUGGGGAGUACGGCCGCAAGGUUGAAACUCAAAGGA
Molecule: ribosomal RNA, 399 nt
Filed under: uncultured bacterium
Lineage: Bacteria
Description: bacterial SSU rRNA
Rfam family: Bacterial small subunit ribosomal RNA
Source: RNAcentral